RNAcentral lists this ribosomal RNA (254 nucleotides) under uncultured bacterium. RNAcentral's name for it is "partial 16S ribosomal RNA". It matches the Rfam family "Bacterial small subunit ribosomal RNA", at positions 524 to 776 of the family's 1533-position model. The record is from RNAcentral.
UACGUAGGGGGCUAGCGUUGUCCGGAAUUAUUGGGCGUAAAGAGCUCGUAGGCGGUGUGUCGCGUCGGCCGUGAAAACCUGCAGCUUAACUGUGGGCUUGCGGUCGAUACGGGCAUCACUGGAGUUCGGCAGGGGAGACUGGAAUUCCUGGUGUAGCGGUGAAAUGCGCAGAUAUCAGGAGGAACACCGGUGGCGAAGGCGGCUUUCUGGACGACAACUGACGCUGAGACGCGAAAGCGUGGGGAGCAAACAGG